RNAcentral lists this transfer RNA (67 nucleotides) under Trimma lantana. Its description in RNAcentral is "tRNA-Ser". Lineage: Eukaryota; Metazoa; Chordata; Actinopteri; Gobiiformes; Gobiidae. The record is from RNAcentral.
GAGAGAGGCACGCCGCAACAAAGGUCGCUACCCUUAGUUUCUUCGGUUGGACUCCGAUGCUCCCUCG